RNAcentral lists this ribosomal RNA (914 nucleotides) under uncultured marine archaeon. RNAcentral's name for it is "bacterial SSU rRNA". It matches the Rfam family "Archaeal small subunit ribosomal RNA", at positions 1 to 922 of the family's 1478-position model. The record is from RNAcentral.
UUCCGGUUGAUCCUGCCGGACCUGACUGCUAUCGGAUUGAUACUAAGCCAUGCGAGUCUUUGUAGUAAUACAAGGCAUACGGCUCAGUAACGCGUAGUCAACCUACCCUAUGGACAAGAAUAAUCUCGGGAAACUGAGCAUAAUUCUUGAUAGAUCAUAAUGCCUGGAAUGGUAUAUGGUUAAAAUGAUUCGUCGCCAUAGGAUGGGACUGCGGCCUAUCAGCUUGUUGGUGAGGUAAUGGCCCACCAAGGCGAUUACAGGUACGGGCUCUGAGAGGAGAAGCCCGGAGAUGGGUACUGAGACAAGGACCCAGGCCCUAUGGGGCGCAGCAGGCGAGAAAACUUUGCAAUGUGCGAAAGCACGACAAGGUUAGUCCGAGUGAUUUCUGCUAAAGAGAUCUUUUGCUAGUUAUAAAACCACUAGUGAAUAAGGGGUGGGCAAGUUCUGGUGUCAGCCGCCGCGGUAAAACCAGCACCUCAAGUGGUCAGGAUGAUUAUUGGGCCUAAAGCAUCCGUAGCCGGCUCUGUAAGUUUUCGGUUAAAUCUAUGCGCUCAACGUAUGGGCUGCCGAAAAUACUGCAGAGAUAGGGAGUGGGAGAGGUAGACGGUACUCGGUAGGAAGGGGUAAAAUCCUUUGAUCUAUCGAUGACCACCUGUGGCGAAGGCGGUCUACCAGAACACGUUCGACGGUGAGGGAUGAAAGCUGGGGGAGCAAACCGGAUUAGAUACCCGGGUAGUCCCAGCCGUAAACGAUGCAGACUCGAUGAUGCAUUGGCAUAUAGCCAGUGCAGUGUCGCAGGGAAGCCGUUAAGUCUGCCGCCUGGGAAGUACGUACGCAAGUAUGAAACUUAAAGGAAUUGGCGGGGGAGCACCACAAGGGGUGAAGCCUGCGGUUCAAUUGGAUUCAACGCCGGG